CCUACGGGAGGCAGCAGUGGGGAAUAUUGCGCGAUGGGCGAAAGCCUGACGCAGCGACGCCGCGUGAGGGAUGAAGGUCUUCGGAUCGUAAACCUCUGUCAGCAGGGAAGAACGGUCACUGUGCUAAUCAGCAGUGAAAUGACGGUACUUGCUGAAUAAGCCACGGCUAACUCCGUGCCAGCAGCCGCGGUAAUACGUAGGUGGCAAGCGUUAUCCGGAUUUACUGGGUGUAACGGGCGUGUAGGCGGGACUGCAAGUCAGAUGUGAAAACCAUGGGCUCAACCCAUGGCCUGCAUUUGAAACUGUAGUUCUGGAGUGUUGGAGAGGCAGGCGGAAUUCCGGGUGUAGCGGUGAAAUGCGUAGAUAUACGGAGGAACACCAGUGGCGAAGGCGACCAGCUGGACAAUAACUGACGCUGAGGCGCGAAAGCGUGGGGAGCAAACAGGAUUAGAUACCCUGGUAGUC
RNAcentral lists this ribosomal RNA (465 nucleotides) under uncultured bacterium. RNAcentral's name for it is "partial 16S ribosomal RNA". It matches the Rfam family "Bacterial small subunit ribosomal RNA", at positions 338 to 795 of the family's 1533-position model. The record is from RNAcentral.